Molecule: ribosomal RNA, 129 nt
Filed under: Pseudomonas aeruginosa
Lineage: Bacteria; Pseudomonadati; Pseudomonadota; Gammaproteobacteria; Pseudomonadales; Pseudomonadaceae
Description: partial 16S ribosomal RNA
Rfam family: Bacterial small subunit ribosomal RNA (bases 41-129)
Source: RNAcentral
UGAGCCAAGUUUAGGGUUUUCUCAAAACCCAAGCAGUAUUGAACUGAAGAGUUUGAUCAUGGCUCAGAUUGAACGCUGGCGGCAGGCCUAACACAUGCAAGUCGAGCGGAUGAAGGGAGCUUGCUCCUG